This 314-nucleotide ribosomal RNA is filed under the name Burkholderia sp. HI2761. Its description in RNAcentral is "bacterial SSU rRNA". It matches the Rfam family "Bacterial small subunit ribosomal RNA", at positions 1 to 313 of the family's 1533-position model. The record is from RNAcentral. Lineage: Bacteria; Pseudomonadati; Pseudomonadota; Betaproteobacteria; Burkholderiales; Burkholderiaceae.
UUGAACUGAAGAGUUUGAUCCUGGCUCAGAUUGAACGCUGGCGGCAUGCCUUACACAUGCAAGUCGAACGGCAGCACGGGUGCUUGCACCUGGUGGCGAGUGGCGAACGGGUGAGUAAUACAUCGGAACAUGUCCUGUAGUGGGGGAUAGCCCGGCGAAAGCCGGAUUAAUACCGCAUACGAUCCAUGGAUGAAAGCGGGGGACCUUCGGGCCUCGCGCUAUAGGGUUGGCCGAUGGCUGAUUAGCUAGUUGGUGGGGUAAAGGCCUACCAAGGCGACGAUCAGUAGCUGGUCUGAGAGGACGACCAGCCACAC